AGUGAACGCUGGCGGUAGGCCUAACACAUGCAAGUCGAACGGCAGCACAGUAAGAGCUUGCUCUUACGGGUGGCGAGUGGCGGACGGGUGAGGAAUACAUCGGAAUCUACUUUUUCGUGGGGGAUAACGUAGGGAAACUUACGCUAAUACCGCAUACGACCUACGGGUGAAAGCAGGGGAUCUUCGGACCUUGCGCGAUUGAAUGAGCCGAUGUCGGAUUAGCUAGUUGGCGGGGUAAAGGCCCACCAAGGCGACGAUCCGUAGCUGGUCUGAGAGGAUGGUCGGCCACACUGGAACUGAGACACGGUCCAGACGCCUACGGGAGGCAGCAGUGGGGAAUAUUGGACAAUGGGCGCAAGCCUGAUCCAGCCAGACCGCGUGGGUGAAGAAGGCCUUCGGGUUGUAAAGCCCUUUUGUUGGGAAAGAAAAGCAGCAGGUUAAUACCCCGCUGUUCUGACGGUACCCAAAGAAUAAGCACCGGCUAACUUCGUG
This 492-nucleotide ribosomal RNA is filed under the name uncultured bacterium. RNAcentral describes it as "partial 16S ribosomal RNA". It matches the Rfam family "Bacterial small subunit ribosomal RNA", at positions 29 to 507 of the family's 1533-position model. The record is from RNAcentral.